This 1936-nucleotide ribosomal RNA is filed under the name freshwater bacterium LH6-2. Its description in RNAcentral is "bacterial LSU rRNA". It matches the Rfam family "Bacterial large subunit ribosomal RNA", at positions 3 to 1985 of the family's 2925-position model. The record is from RNAcentral.
UCAAGCUACAAAGGGCUCACGGUGGAUACCUUGGCACACAGAGGCGAUGAAGGACGUGGUUACCUGCGAUAAGUCUCGGGGAGCUGGAAACACGCUUUGAUCCGGGAAUUUCCGAAUGGGGCAACCCCUAGAACGGCCGCCUGAAUCCAUAGGGCGGUGCGAGCCAACCCAGCGAACUGAAACAUCUUAGUAGCUGGAGGAAAGGAAAGUAAAAACGACUCCCUCAGUAGCGGCGAGCGAACGGGGAAGAGCCUAAACCGAUGGUUUCGACCAUCGGGGUUGUGGGACAGCAACGUGGACCAACGAACCUAGAAGAAGCGUUUGAAUGGCGCGCCACAGAGGGUGAAAGCCCCGUAUUUGAAAGGAGAGUUGGCCUAGCUGUAUCCCGAGUAGCACGGAGCACGUGAAAUUCCGUGUGAAUCCGCGAGGACCACCUCGUAAGGCUAAGUACUCCUGUGUGACCGAUAGCGCAACAGUACCGCGAGGGAAAGGUGAAAAGAACCCCGGGAGGGGAGUGAAAUAGAACAUGAAACCGUGAGCUUACAAGCAGUGGGAGCCCGACUGAUCGGGUGACCGCGUGCCUGUUGAAGAAUGAGCCGGCGACUUAUAGGCACUGGCAGGUUAAACCGGGAAUGGUGGAGCCAUAGCGAAAGCGAGUCUGAAUAGGGCGAUCGUCAGUGUUUAUAGACCCGAACCCGGGUGAUCUAACCAUGGCCAGGAUGAAGCUUGGGUGAUACCAAGUGGAGGUCCGAACCGACUGAUGUUGAAAAAUCAGCGGAUGAGCUGUGGUUAGGGGUGAAAUGCCAAUCGAACCCGGAGCUAGCUGGUUCUCCCCGAAAUACGUUGAGGCGUAGCGUCUAGUGCUCCAGCAGGGGGGUAAAGCCACUGUUUCGGUGCGGGCUGCGAGAGCGGUACCAAAUCGAGACAAACUCUGAAUACCCUGUGUGUAACUAGGCAGUCAGACUGUGGGGGAUAAGCUCCAUGGUCGAAAGGGAAACAGCCCAGACCGCCAGCUAAGGUCCCCAAAUCGAUGCUAAGUGAUAAAGGAGGUGGGAUUGCCCAGACAACCAGGAGGUUUGCCUAGAAGCAGCCAUCCUCAAAGGAGUGCGUAAUAGCUCACUGGUCGAGCGAUCCUGCGCCGAAAAUGAACGGGGCUAAGCAUCGUACCGAAGCUGCGGAUUUAACUUGUUAAAUGGUAGGGGAGCGUUCCAUGUGGGGUGAAGCGUUAGCGUAAGCGGGCGUGGACUGCAUGGAAGUGAGAAUGUCGGCUUGAGUAGCGAAAACAUGGGUGAGAAUCCCAUGCCCCGAAACCCUAAGGGUUCCUCCGGCAGGCUCGUCCGCGGAGGGUUAGUCAGGACCUAAGGCGAGGCCGAAAGGCGUAGUCGAUGGACAACAGGUCAACAUUCCUGUACCUGUGAUGUUUUGGGAAGGGGGACGGAGAAGGCUAGCCAAGCCAGAUGUUGGUUACUGGUCCAAGCGUUCGAGGCGUUGAGAGCUGGCGAAAACAGCUUGAGCUGAGGCGUGAGUGCGAGCUGCUACGGCAGCGAAGUUGGUGACGUCAAGCUUCCAAGAAAAGCCCUAUACCCGUUAAGGCAUCAUGGCCUGUACCCGAAACCGACACAGGUGGGGUGGUAGAGAAUACCGAGGGGCGCGAGGUAACUCUCUCUAAGGAACUCGGCAAAAUGGCCCCGUAACUUCGGGAGAAGGGGUGCCACCGAGAGGUGGUCGCAGUGAAGAGUCCCAGGCGACUGUUUACCAAAAACACAGGUCUCUGCAAACUCGUAAGAGGACGUAUAGGGGCUGACGCCUGCCCAGUGCCGGAAGGUUAAGGAAGUUGGUUAGUUUUCGGAUGAAGCUAGCGACCGAAGCCCCGGUGAACGGCGGCCGUAACUAUAACGGUCCUAAGGUAGCGAAAUUCCUUGUCGGGUAAGUUCCG